CCUACGGGUGGCAGCAGUGGGGAAUAUUGCACAAUGGGCGAAAGCCUGAUGCAGCAACGCCGCAUGAGCGAUGAAGGUCUUCGGGUCGUAAAGCUCUGUCCUAAGGGAAGAAUAUUGACGGUACCUUAGGAGGAAGCCCCGGCUAACUACGUGCCAGCAGCCGCGGUAAUACGUAGGGGGCUAGCGUUAUCCGGAAUUACUGGGCGUAAAGGGUGCGUAGGCGGCACUUCAAGUCAGAGGUGAAAGGCUACGGCUCAACCGUAGUAAGCCUUUGAAAAUGUAGGGCUUGGUUGCAGGAGAGGAGAGGGGAAUUCCCAGUGUAGCGGUGAAAUGCGUAGAUAGUGGGAGGAACACCAGUUGCGUGGGCGGCUCUCUGGACUGUAACUGACGCUGAGGCACGAAAGGGUGGGGAGCGAACAGGAUUAGAUACCCUGGUAGUC
Molecule: ribosomal RNA, 440 nt
Filed under: uncultured bacterium
Lineage: Bacteria
Description: bacterial SSU rRNA
Rfam family: Bacterial small subunit ribosomal RNA
Source: RNAcentral